Long non-coding RNA from Gallus gallus (chicken), 1595 nucleotides. Lineage: Eukaryota; Metazoa; Chordata; Aves; Galliformes; Phasianidae. The record is from Ensembl.
AAAGGAUUUACUUUGCCGUGUGCAGCAGUGACAGCACUCAGGAGGAAGUCAUAGCUGGGAGACAUCUAUUAUGAUGUUUGCAUUGAGUCUGCAGUUUGCAUCAGUGCCAGAGCUGCUGCUCUCCUCUCCCCCCUCAGGAUUACCAGGAGGGCUGUGACAUUAAAUGGAACGGUCGCCUUUGAAGUUCAGACUUCAGAACUGAGGCGGUUUUUCCACGUUGGCAGUUAAGUUCCAGCCUCCUUCCGUGGAUGCCAGGCCAAGGAAACAAACAGUUCCACAUCUGCCUGAAGCACCUCCACAGAGUCAACCGACCGCUUCCACCGCGGACCCGUCCCAGAGCUCACCUGCUGCUCAGCUGCACUGCCAUCGCCCUCCUGGACUCAGGACCAGCUCUGACCCGGGGGUGUUCUCCAGUGCUUCCCAGCAAAUCCUCCUCCGGGCAGCGCAGCCCUGAGGCCACAGCUGAUGCCCACAGGGCAGCAUUCCCUGCGUGCUGGAAAGCGCCGAGCCAAAAGGGAGGAGACAAGUUAACAAAGAAAGCCCAUUUCCCAAAGGAAAGACUUGUAUUCUUGAAGAUGUCAACUACAACAAUGGCAAUGGAUGUGUAUAAACCAACAUGCACUGGAGAAGGCGAGCCAAAAUGAUAUUGAUAAGUUAUGAGAUGUUAUUUCAUUUUGAAGCAAAAUAAUAUUUUAUUCUUCUUUCGGAAUUUUUCACGUUUCAUUUCCAUGCAGGAUUUUGAAGCUUCAAAUGCUCCCAAGGGGGCAUAUUAUAGGGACAGAACACCUGUCAAAGACACCUGCAGUCAUGUGCUCUUUACAAUUGCUUCACAAGGGAUAAGGGAGAUAUGCCCCAUCUAUUUAAUUGCUAGCAAUUCUUCGCAAGGAUGAUAAGCAAAUACUGACUUUUUAACUGUCGAAAAGACAACCAUAGUUGGAUUGGCACCAAAAGUAAGUGAGGAGAACAACCUUCUUAAUCAAUAUCUGAGCCAGGUGGCUGAGUAUAUGAGAGAGAAAUGAUUUCCAAGCUGCGUGCCAAGCUCAUGUUCUCUGCAGUGGGGCCCCGUUUUGUGCUGGGGAAGAGUCAGGACACUUAACUCGCAGCAUCAUGGGAUGCUUUGGGCAGAGAAUUGACUGCUGUUGGCUGGAGGAGCUGAAAGACAGUGCUGAUCUUGCUGUAGCUCUGAAAAUAGAUCUGCACCUGUUAUUAGUGUCAGUGCUGCCAUUAAAAUCCCAUCCAAGGGCGUAAAUAAUUUGCAAAUAAGAGAGAUUUUCAAAAUAGACUCCACUCCUCUUCCCAAAUCUUUCUGAUUACUCAAAAGUCAAGACAGAGUAUUACAAGCAUUAGAAAGAAGGAAACAUAAGAUAAAACCCCACACAAUUAAAAACUGUGCAAGAAAGCAUGCAAGAAACUACUCCAGGUUUAAAAUGUGGUCAAAGAUCAACACAUUGACUUGGAUGCACCUGAAGAAAUACACGGACAAUUUGAAGUGCCAGCUUCUCUCUUCCUGCUCUUCUUCGUUCUUUCCUUUGCAAGUUGUUUCCAGGCUUGCCAAAGCAAAGGCCAUCUCUUACUGCUUUCCACAUCAUACCUGC